UACAGAGGGUGCAAGCGUUGUUCGGAAUCAUUGGGCGUAAAGCGCACGUAGGCGGCCCGCUAAGUCGGAUGUGAAAGCCCAGGGCUCAACCCUGGAAGUGCAUUCGAAACUGGCGAGCUUGAAUGUCGGAGAGGGCAGUGGAAUUCCGAGUGUAGAGGUGAAAUUCGUAGAUAUUCGGAGGAACACCAGUGGCGAAGGCGACUGCCUGGACGAACAUUGACGCUGAGGUGCGAAAGCGUGGGGAGCAAACAGG
RNAcentral lists this ribosomal RNA (253 nucleotides) under uncultured prokaryote. RNAcentral describes it as "partial 16S ribosomal RNA". It matches the Rfam family "Bacterial small subunit ribosomal RNA", at positions 524 to 776 of the family's 1533-position model. The record is from RNAcentral.